Molecule: ribosomal RNA, 331 nt
Filed under: uncultured bacterium
Lineage: Bacteria
Description: bacterial SSU rRNA
Rfam family: Bacterial small subunit ribosomal RNA
Source: RNAcentral
CGUGUAGGCGGCCUCUUAAGUCUGAUGUGAAAGCCCGGGGCUUACCCCCGGAAGGGCAUUGGAAACUGGGAGGCUAGAGUACCGGAGGGGAAGGUGGAAUUCCUGGUGUAGCGGUGAAAUGCGUAGAUAUCAGGAGGAACACCGGUGGCGAAGGCGGCCUUCUGGACGGAUACUGACGCUGAGACGCGAAAGCGUGGGGAGCAAACAGGAUUAGAUACCCUGGUAGUCCACGCCGUAAACGAUGGGCACUAGGUGUUCGGGUAUUGACCCCCUGAGUGCCGCAGCUAACGCAUUAAGUGCCCCGCCUGGGGACUACGGCCGCAAGGUUAAA